GCAGUGCUGACGAGUCCAAAACAGGACGAAACAGCUGUCUAGUGC
RNAcentral lists this non-coding RNA (45 nucleotides) under Echinostoma caproni. Lineage: Eukaryota; Metazoa; Platyhelminthes; Trematoda; Plagiorchiida; Echinostomatidae. The record is from RNAcentral.